RNAcentral lists this transfer RNA (68 nucleotides) under Epeorus sp. JZ-2014. RNAcentral's name for it is "tRNA-Trp". It matches the Rfam family "tRNA". Rfam says of the family: Transfer RNA (tRNA) molecules are approximately 80 nucleotides in length. The record is from RNAcentral. Lineage: Eukaryota; Metazoa; Arthropoda; Insecta; Ephemeroptera; Heptageniidae. RNAcentral also lists the same sequence under 1 other name.
AAGGCUUUAUGUUAAUUAAACACAUAGCCUUCAAAGCUAUAAAUAGGGGUUUAAUCCCUUAAGCCUUA